This 186-nucleotide small RNA is filed under the name human gut metagenome. RNAcentral's name for it is "Bacteroidales-1 6S-Bacteroidales RNA suggested". It matches the Rfam family "Bacteroidales-1 6S-Bacteroidales RNA suggested". The record is from RNAcentral.
AAGUUGAUUGGGAAACUCAUCAAAUUUUUAUGAAAUGCCGAGACAACCUCUCUUACUGAUGGCGGGCCCCAACCCCUCGGGGUGCAGCUGAUUCCUUUCGGAACCCUGCCAGGCGGAUUACAAAGGUACCUGAGGCCUCAAAACCUGUCUUUCGGAGUUUCAUCGCAUCCUUUGGUGUGGCAUCCU